This 591-nucleotide ribosomal RNA is filed under the name Triticum aestivum (bread wheat). Its description in RNAcentral is "partial small subunit ribosomal RNA". Lineage: Eukaryota; Viridiplantae; Streptophyta; Magnoliopsida; Poales; Poaceae. The record is from RNAcentral.
AUGGAUUCAUCAUUCAAUGAUUUAUAUAGGCCGUGGUUCAAGCAUGGGCGGCCGUACCUUAUGCAGAUGACUGGUGAAGAAGUGGUGGAAGAAUUCCGCAUAGAAAAUCAUCUUGCUCAGCAAGGACUGGAAUCAAUCCUGCGUUUGGGGCUCUGCCCCAGGGGAUCAGGGAGACUCAUCAUUGGACCUGACUGGGCGUUCAAAGUUGCAUACACAGACUCAUACUGGCUGAGGGAAGAUGUCCGCUCAAUGUUUAAUCAGCUACCGCUUGGUGUGCCAUUAGUUCUGGGGCUGGUUGUGGUGUACCUGGACCAGGGGUGGAGUUUGUACGUCUUUGACAUCCUGUGUAGAGUUCUCCAUAUCAUUGAUCCGAACAUCUCCAAGCCUGGGAAAAGCAGGAUGAAAGCAAAACACUUGCAGAAUGUGGGUGAGCUACUUGAUGCAUUCGUGAAGUGUGGUGACAUUUUCUGGGGGCAAGGGAAGGUGCCACAUAAUGGGUGGUCUUAUUGUUUCCAUGCUACAGGUGCCUAUGAGAGCACGGACACGGCGAUGCAGGUAGUCCACCACAUCAUCAACUUUGUGCCUGGGUAA